AUAUAUAUACGACCGUACCGCAAACCGACACUGGUGCGCGAGAUGAGUAUUCUAAGGCGCUUGAGAGAACUCAGGAGAAGGAACUCGGCAAAUUGACACCGUAACUUCGGAAGAAGGUGUGCCCUAUUAGUGUGUAGUGAACAACGAAGCAUGAAUGGGUUGCAAAAAAUCGGUGGCUGCGACUGUUUAUUAAAAACACAGCACUCUGCAAACACGAAAGUGGACGUAUAGGGUGUGACGCCUGCCCGGUGCUGGAAGAUUAAAUGAUGGGGUGCAAGCUCUUGAUUGAAGUCCCAGUAAACGGCGGCCGUAACCAUAACGGUCCUAAGGUAGCGAAAUUCCUUGUCGGGUAAGUUCCGACCUGCACGAAUGGCGUAACGAUGGCCACACUGUCUCCUCCUGAGACUCAGCGAAGUUGAAAUGUUUGUGAUGAUGCAAUCUCCCCGCGGAAAUACGGAAAGACCCCAUGAACCUUUACUGUAGCUUUGUAUUGGACUUUGAACAGAUCUGUGUAGGAUAGGUGGGAGGCUUUGAAGCAGGGUCGCUAGAUCUUGUGGAGCCAACGUUGAAAUACCACCCUGGUGUGUUUGAGGUUCUAACCUAGGUCCAUUAUCUGAAUCGGGGACAGUGCAUGGUAGGCAGUUUGACUGGGGCGGUCUCCUCCCAAAGCGUAACGGAGGAGUUCGAAGGUACGCUAGUUACGGUCGGACAUCGUGACGAUAGUGCAAUGGCAUAAGCGUGCUUAACUGCGAGACUGACAAGUCGAGCAGAUGCGAAAGCAGGACAUAGUGAUCCGGUGGUUCUGUAUGGAAGGGCCAUCGCUCAACGGAUAAAAGGUACUCUGGGGAUAACAGGCUGAUACCGCCCAAGAGUUCAUAUCGACGGCGGUGUUUGGCACCUCGAUGUCGGCUCAUCUCAUCCUGGGGCUGUAGCCGGUCCCAAGGGUAUGGCUGUUCGCCAUUUAAAGAGGUACGUGAGCUGGGUUUAAAACGUCGUGAGACAGUUUGGUCCCUAUCUUCCGUGGGCGCUGCAGAUUUGAGGAAGCCUGCUCCUAGUACGAGAGGACCGGAGUGGACACACCUCUGGUGUAUCGGUUGUCACGCCAGUGGCAUUGCCGAGUAGCUAAGUGUGGAAGAGAUAACCGCUAAAAGCAUCUAAGCGGGAAACUCGUUUCAAGAUGAGAUCUGCCGGGGCCUUGAGCCCCCUAAAGAGUCGUUCAAGACCAGGACGUUGAUAGGUCAGGUGUGGAA
This 1250-nucleotide ribosomal RNA is filed under the name metagenome. Its description in RNAcentral is "bacterial LSU rRNA". It matches the Rfam family "Bacterial large subunit ribosomal RNA", at positions 1630 to 2872 of the family's 2925-position model. The record is from RNAcentral.